This 466-nucleotide ribosomal RNA is filed under the name uncultured bacterium. RNAcentral describes it as "partial 16S ribosomal RNA". It matches the Rfam family "Bacterial small subunit ribosomal RNA", at positions 339 to 795 of the family's 1533-position model. The record is from RNAcentral.
CUACGGGUCGCACCAGUGGGGAAUAUUGGACAAUGGGGGAAACCCUGAUCCAGCAAUGCCGCGUGUGUGAAGAAGGAUUGUGGGUUGUAAAGCACUUUCGGUUGGGAGGACUGCUUCUAGCACUAAUAUUGUUGGAAGUUGACGUUACCUUCAGAAGAAGCACCGGCUAACUCCGUGCCAGCAGCCGCGGUAGAUACGGAGGGUGCAAGCGUUAAUCGGAAUUACUGGGCGUAAAGCGCGCGUAGGCGGCUAGAUCAGUCGGGUGUGAAAGCCCCGGGCUUAACCUGGGAACUGCAUCCGAUACUGUCUAGAUUGAGUACAGGAGAGGAGAGUGGAAUUCCACAUGUAGCGGUGAAAUGCGUAGAUAUGUGGAGGAACACCAAUGGCGAAGGCAGCUCUCUGGCCUGAUACUGACGCUGAGGUGCGAAAGCGUGGGGAGCAAACAGGAUUAGAUACCCGGGUAGUC